AGUCACUGACAUUAGACUACCCGCGUAGUCCCAGCCGUAAACUAUGCGCGUUAGGUGUACUGGUGACCACGAGUCACCGGGGUGCCGAAGGGAACCGUGAAACGUGCCGCCUGGGAAGUACGGUCGCAAGGCUGAAACUUAAAGGAAUUGGCGGGGGAGCACCACAACAGGUGGAGCCUGCGGUUUAAUUGGACUCAACGCCGGGAAGCUCACCGGAUAGGACAGCAGAAUGAUUGCCGGGCUGAAGACCCUGCAUGACUAGCUG
This 265-nucleotide ribosomal RNA is filed under the name uncultured archaeon. RNAcentral's name for it is "partial 16S ribosomal RNA". It matches the Rfam family "Archaeal small subunit ribosomal RNA", at positions 718 to 982 of the family's 1478-position model. The record is from RNAcentral.